CAAACCAGCUACAGCGGCCCCUCCGCUGCCCGCCCCGAGUGUAGGCGAGCGUGCGGGAGGGGCGGCCCUAACGUGUGGAUCUGAGCCCCCCCCCAGCCUGCCUUGCGCACCCACAGGUCGGGCGGGCAUCAGCACCCUGCCUAGCUCUCUUUGAUGGCCGGAAUCCCCAGAAGUCGCCUGCGACCUCCUCCCCCUCUGCAGCCCUAAAAAGGACGCGGGGUCCCGGCCCGACGCAGGCGGAACCUUCUGCCCGCCUCUUACUGACCGAGGAAAAUGGCCUUGCGCGUUUGGAUAACUAGGGAGAGAUAGGUCGUUUCCCCUACCCAACCGCUCCUUGGGCUUUGUGCCCCAGCGAGCGUGAAUUCGCCUGCUGAGGGAAGAGAGCAAAUGAUGGCGAUGGACAAGAUGGACAAAACCAGCGGCCCCUGCACAUCCCAGCAGUUGUGAGGGAAAGUAGGGAACCCAGGGAUCGAGAAGUGCCCACGAUCUUCCCCAAAGCCAGAAGCAUGCCUAACGCCUGCUGCCCUACAAAAUGCCGGGCACUCUGACCAGGGACCCUGCGGCCAGGCCUGAGCGCUUUGUCCCUAGCCCGCCUGAGGAUGCUACCAGAUGAGGGUUGGACACAGAGGUUCGUUCGUCUGCUGGGGCCGCCGCUGAGCUUUUGGGCUCUUGGGCUCAGAGCCUGAGACUGUAGGCAAGGCACGUGUACUGGCGCGAAGUUCCCACAGUUAGCUGCAAGAGGAGCGAACAAUCCCAGAGGUACCUAUUCUGAUGAUUCCCGUUGUACAGACUGAUGAAUGGGCAGAUGAGAAAGGCAAACUCGAAUCACACACGGGGAGCGCCUGAGGCUUUACCUCCAACGCCCAACCUUCACUAAGCGGUCACUCUGGGAUCUGAAAAGAAGCACAGGCAUGAGGCAGCCAGAAACCAUCCUGCUCACAGUUGUCAGACUGGCUUGACAGACAGGGGCCAGCCCACUUCCUUCACCCUCAGAAAAAGCUGGUUCUCUGGCCACAGAAGCAAGAGGAGGGCUGUUCAAGUGGGAAUAGAACGCAGAGUUUGGAGACAAGCAGACCCAAGUUCAAAGUUCAAGUCACAGCUUUCCUCCUGCCAAAUGUAUAGCUUUGGACAGGGUCUUUCCAGGUAGCCCAGAAUGGUCUCAAAAACCCUGGGGGGAAUUUUGUGGUCGAGGAAUCAAACCCAGGACCUUUUUUGCUCACUCGCUGAAGAUCCGGCUCUCAACAACCUAGGAAGCCGAGGUCACCGGGGCGUCUCCCCAGAUGAGAAAAGGGGUCCCUAAGCAUCUGCACGCACUUUGCU
RNAcentral lists this long non-coding RNA (1320 nucleotides) under Cricetulus griseus (Chinese hamster). RNAcentral describes it as "lncRNA (ENSCGRG00015030961.1)". The record is from RNAcentral. Lineage: Eukaryota; Metazoa; Chordata; Mammalia; Rodentia; Cricetidae.